ACAAUACAUGAUCAAUGACUGAUACUCCCUCUCGCAUACAGGCAUUGAACAUGGCACAGAAGGUUUUAUAUCUCUCGACAUCUUUAAAGGUGCCAAAAGAGUCAUUCAAUAAUUGAAUCAUCACCUCUGGUCGCAUAUGUUUGAACUUGUUGGUGCAGAAUUUUAUCGACGUUGGAGAAGCUGGAGUCGAGAGGAUCACCGCCGC
This 205-nucleotide long non-coding RNA is filed under the name Elaeis guineensis (African oil palm). RNAcentral describes it as "long non-coding RNA (EGUI_LNC054378)". The record is from RNAcentral. Lineage: Eukaryota; Viridiplantae; Streptophyta; Magnoliopsida; Arecales; Arecaceae.